GACGAACGCUGGCGGCGUGCUUAACACAUGCAAGUCGAACGGAAAGGCCCUGCUUUUGUGCGGUGCUCGAGUGGCGAACGGGUGAGUAACACGUGAGUAACCUGCCCUUGACUUUGUGAUAACUUCACGAAACUCGGGCUAUUACCGCAUAUGAUCUCCUGCUGCGUGUUGGUGGUUGGAGAGUUUCGGCGGUUGGGGCUGGACUCGCGGCUUAUCCGCUUGUUGGUGGGGUAGUUGCUUACCAAGGCUUUGACGGGUAGCCGGCCUGAGAGGGGUACCGGCGACAAUGGGACUGAGAGACGGACCAGAAGGGUAAGGGAGGCAGUAGUGGGGAAUAUGGCAGAAUGGGGGGAAGCGUGAUGCAGAAGCGCCGGGUGCGGGAUGACGGGCUUUGGGGUGUAAACAGAUUUCGCAUGUGACGAAGAGGGAGUGACGGUAAUGGGUAAAGAAGCAACGGCUAACUACGUG
This 468-nucleotide ribosomal RNA is filed under the name uncultured bacterium. Its description in RNAcentral is "partial 16S ribosomal RNA". It matches the Rfam family "Bacterial small subunit ribosomal RNA", at positions 28 to 507 of the family's 1533-position model. The record is from RNAcentral.